This 253-nucleotide ribosomal RNA is filed under the name uncultured bacterium. RNAcentral describes it as "partial 16S ribosomal RNA". It matches the Rfam family "Bacterial small subunit ribosomal RNA", at positions 524 to 776 of the family's 1533-position model. The record is from RNAcentral.
UACGGAGGGGGCUAGCGUUGUUCGGAAUGACUGGGCGUAAAGCGCGCGUAGGCGGAUUGGCAAGUUGGGGGUGAAAUCCCGGGGCUCAACCUCGGAAUGGCCUUCAAGACUGCUGGUCUUGAGUUCGAGAGAGGUGAGUGGAAUUCCGAGUGUAGAGGUGAAAUUCGUAGAUAUUCGGAGGAACACCGAUGGCGAAGGCAGCCCCCUGGGUCAAGAUUGACGCUCAUGCACGAAAGCGUGGGGAGCAAACAGG